CCUUGACAUACUAAGAACUUUCCAGAGAUGGAUUGGUGCCUUCGGGAACUUAGAUACAGGUGCUGCAUGGCUGUCGUCAGCUCGUGUCGUGAGAUGUUGGGUUAAGUCCCGCAACGAGCGCAACCCUUUUCCUUAUUUGCCAGCGGGUCAUGCCGGGAACUUUAAGGAUACUGCCAGUGACAAACUGGAGGAAGGCGGGGACGACGUCAAGUCAUCAUGGCCCUUACGGCCAGGGCUACACGCGUGCUACAAUGGUCGGUACAAAGGGUUGCUACCUCGCGAGAGGAUGCUAAUCUCAAAAAGCCGAUCGUAGUCCGGAUCGCAGUCUGCAACUCGACUGCGUGAAGUCGGAAUCGCUAGUAAUCGCGGAUCAGAAUGCCGCGGUGAAUACGUUCCCGGGCCUUGUACACACCGCCCGUCACACCAUGGGAGUUUGUUGCACCAGAAGUAGGUAGUCUAACCGCAAGGAGGACGCUUACCACGGUGUGGCCGAUGACUGGGGUGAAGUCGUAACAAGGUAAGCGUAGAUGA
RNAcentral lists this ribosomal RNA (531 nucleotides) under uncultured bacterium. Its description in RNAcentral is "bacterial SSU rRNA". It matches the Rfam family "Bacterial small subunit ribosomal RNA", at positions 979 to 1509 of the family's 1533-position model. The record is from RNAcentral.